UUUCCAGACUCCUACGGGAGGCAGCAGUGAGGAAUAUUGGUCAAUGGGCGCGAGCCUGAACCAGCCAAGUAGCGUGAAGGAUGACUGCCCUACGGGUUGUAAACUUCUUUUAUAAAGGAAUAAAGUGAGGCACGUGUGCCUUUUUGUAUGUACUUUAUGAAUAAGGAUCGGCUAACUCCGUGCCAGCAGCCGCGGUAAUACGGAGGAUCCGAGCGUUAUCCGGAUUUAUUGGGUUUAAAGGGUGCGUAGGCGGACGCUUAAGUCAGCGGUAAAAUUGCGGGGCUCAACCUCGUCGAGCCGUUGAAACUGGGUGCCUUGAGUGGGCGAGAAGUACGCGGAAUGCGUGGUGUAGCGGUGAAAUGCAUAGAUAUCACGCAGAACUCCGAUUGCGAAGGCAGCGUACCGGCGCCCAACUGACGCUGAAGCACGAAGGCGUGGGUAUCGAACAGGAUUAGAUACCCGAGUAU
Molecule: ribosomal RNA, 467 nt
Filed under: uncultured bacterium
Lineage: Bacteria
Description: bacterial SSU rRNA
Rfam family: Bacterial small subunit ribosomal RNA
Source: RNAcentral